UUGAACGCUGGCGGCAUGCCUUACACAUGCAAGUCGAACGGUAACAGGUCUUCGGAUGCUGACGAGUGGCGAACGGGUGAGUAAUACAUCGGAACGUGCCCGAUCGUGGGGGAUAACGCAGCGAAAGCUGUGCUAAUACCGCAUACGAUCUACGGAUGAAAGCAGGGGACCGCAAGGCCUUGCGCGGACGGAGCGGCCGAUGGCAGAUUAGCUAGUUGGUGGGGUAAAAGCUCACCAAGGCGACGAUCUGUAGCUGGUCUGAGAGGACGACCAGCCACACUGGAACUGAGACACGGUCCAGACUCCUACGGGAGGCAGCAGUGGGGAAUUUUGGACAAUGGGCGCAAGCCUGAUCCAGCAAUGCCGCGUGCAGGAUGAAGGCCUUCGGGUUGUAAACUGCUUUUGUACGGAACGAAACGGUUCUCUUUAAUAAAGAGGGCUAAUGACGGUACCGUAAGAAUAAGCACCGGCUAACUACGU
This 480-nucleotide ribosomal RNA is filed under the name uncultured bacterium. Its description in RNAcentral is "bacterial SSU rRNA". It matches the Rfam family "Bacterial small subunit ribosomal RNA", at positions 30 to 506 of the family's 1533-position model. The record is from RNAcentral.